UACGUAGGGUGCGAGCGUUGUCCGGAAUUAUUGGGCGUAAAGAGCUUGUAGGCGGUUUGUCGCGUCUGCUGUGAAAUUUCGGGGCUCAACCCCGAACUUGCAGUGGGUACGGGCAGACUAGAGUGUGGUAGGGGAGACUGGAAUUCCUGGCGUAGCGGUGAAAUGCGCAGAUAUCAGGAGGAACACCGAUGGCGAAGGCAGGUCUCUGGGCCACUACUGACGUGAGAAGCGAAAGCAUGGGGGAGCGAACAGG
RNAcentral lists this ribosomal RNA (253 nucleotides) under uncultured bacterium. RNAcentral's name for it is "partial 16S ribosomal RNA". It matches the Rfam family "Bacterial small subunit ribosomal RNA", at positions 524 to 776 of the family's 1533-position model. The record is from RNAcentral.